This 374-nucleotide ribosomal RNA is filed under the name uncultured bacterium. RNAcentral's name for it is "bacterial SSU rRNA". It matches the Rfam family "Bacterial small subunit ribosomal RNA", at positions 370 to 759 of the family's 1533-position model. The record is from RNAcentral.
AAUGGGGGAAACCCUGACCCAGCGACGUCGCGUGAGUGAAGAAAUCCCUCGGGAUGUAAAGCUCUGUUGUACGGGAAGAGGAGCAGACGGUACCGUACGAGGAAGCCCCGGCAAACUACGUGCCAGCAGCCGCGGUAAUACGUAGGGGGCAAGCGUUGUCCGGAAUUACUGGGCGUAAAGCGCACGCAGGCGGCCGAUCAAGUCGGUUGUAAAAGGCAGUGGCUCAACUACUGUAAGACGGCCGAUACUGAUGAGCUAGAGUAUGUGAGAGGGAAGCGGAAGUCCCGGUGUAGCGGUGAAAUGCGUAGAUAUCGGGAGGAACACCAGUGGCGAAAGCGGGUUCCUGGACUGUAACUGACGCUCAGACGCGAAAG